Long non-coding RNA from Raphanus sativus (radish), 1166 nucleotides. RefSeq lists it as uncharacterized. The record is from RefSeq and is a predicted model, not a curated record. Lineage: Eukaryota; Viridiplantae; Streptophyta; Magnoliopsida; Brassicales; Brassicaceae. The transcript has 2 exons.
GAAGGAUGGAACGGUUGUUUGCGAAAAUGAAGAGGUUACCAUCAGUGUUCAGCCAUACGAAAGGGUAGAGGUUGUUCUCGUCAGGGUCGUCUGUUUGUUUUAGGAGCAAUGAGUCAAAUAGCUUCUUGUUGUUCUGUCCUUCCUCUGGGAUGUAUUCGUAGUUCAAGGCGUCUCGUCCUCCAAUCACAAAGAACUUUCCGUCAGGAAGAGAGGCUUGCGUUGAGUACCAUCUCUUUGCAGCUAGGGCUUGAGGGUAUUCAAUCCAUACACAGUUUGGACAAGCAGCUAGGUACCUCGCCGUGUUGGCUCCUCCUCCGUAUCCUCCAGUGCUCACCAGUGUUCCGUUGAUGGUCAGACCUCCCGAUGAGCACCACGUAUCAGUAGUAAGCUAUCAUCAAAAUGUGAAUAAAGAUAUUUAAUACAAGUCCAAGUAAAAUACUAUACAUGUAUACAUGGCCGGUAAAAACAAUUUAGUAAAUUUAAUACUUUAAAAAUAAUAAUUUGGGGAUCUAUGUUUAUAUAUAUAUUAAAUCAAAAAAUUUGGAGGUUCAAGACCAAUAUUUCACUUAGUUAUGUGCAUGACCGGCUCUGUUAAUAUAUGCAUGCAUGUGAGUAGGGAUUGAUAAGUACGGCUAGAGGCUUAAUGGCACCGGUGUUGAUGUCAACGAGAACCGAAUGAGCCCAACAAUCGACCCUGUUAAUCUUGGGGUCGACGACGUGACAUGGUACACCUGGAGGCAGCUUAAUCUGUGAGAUUCUCCAGAUGGUUGCGUCAUAGAACUGGACUUGGUUGAUGACUGGCAUCAGAAUCGCAUGCAUCGCUGACACACCUGAGUUUGGUAGGAACGGCAUAAAUGGUAGAUCAGGAAACACGGCUUCCGACACAGCUGCAAGUACAAGGACAGUUACUGUCCAUAUGAAUCUUGUUGAGGCUCUCAUUUUUUGUAAUUUUUGUAGUUUUUAGAUUUUUAGAUUUUUUUUUUAAUUUCUUUUUUUGGUUGAGGAGAUGAGAAAUUUGAUGCUUAUUUGGUUUAUGAAUGCCGGAGUAAUCAACUUUGGUCUAAGCGUGUUUUAUAGGUUGUUUUACUUGAGUUUAUUUUUAGGGAUUGCUAUUUUUAUGUGUGUGGUAAGAAGACUCUACAUCAAUCAAAUUCUAGUUUUGUGGA